GGUGGCUCAGUGGUAGAGUGCUUGCCUUGCAUGCAUGAGGCCCUGGGUUCUAGCAAGCAGGAGGCCUUAAGUUCAAAUCCUAGUACCACCA
RNAcentral lists this transfer RNA (91 nucleotides) under Dipodomys ordii (Ord's kangaroo rat). It matches the Rfam family "tRNA". Rfam says of the family: Transfer RNA (tRNA) molecules are approximately 80 nucleotides in length. Their secondary structure includes four short double-helical elements and three loops (D, anti-codon, and T loops). Further hydrogen bonds mediate the characteristic L-shaped molecular structure. tRNAs have two regions of fundamental functional importance: the anti-codon, which is responsible for specific mRNA codon recognition, and the 3' end, to which the tRNAs corresponding amino acid is attached (by aminoacyl-tRNA synthetases). tRNAs cope with the degeneracy of the genetic code in two manners: having more than one tRNA (with a specific anti-codon) for a particular amino acid; and 'wobble' base-pairing, i.e. permitting non-standard base-pairing at the 3rd anti-codon position. The record is from Rfam by way of RNAcentral. Lineage: Eukaryota; Metazoa; Chordata; Mammalia; Rodentia; Heteromyidae.